GAUUGCCUCAGUAACGGCGAGUGAAGCGGCAAAAGCUCAAAUUUUAAAGCUGGCACCUCCGGUGUCCGCGUUGUAAUUUUGUGAGGCAUCUCCGGGUAGGGCGCCGGCCUAAGUUCCUUGGAACAGGACGUCAUAGAGGGUGAGAAUCCCGUGCUUGGCUGGCUGUCCCCGUCCAUGUGAGGUGUCUUCGACGAGUCGAGUUGUUUGGGAAUGCAGCUCAAAAUGGGUGGUAAAUUUCAUCUAAAGCUAAAUAUUGGUGGGAGACCGAUAGCGCACAAGUAGAGUGAUCGAAAGAUGAAAAGCACUUUGAAAAUAGAGUUAAAAAGUACGUGAAAUUGUUGAAAGGGAAGCGCUUGAGACCAGACUUCGGUGGGGAGUGAUCAGCCGUCCUUCUGGGCGGUGCACUUGCUCCCCUCCGGGCCAGCAUCGGUUGGGACGGCGGGAUAAAGGUCCCGGGAAUGUGGCUCCUUUCGGGGAGUGUUAUAGCCCGGGAUGAAAUGCCGCCAGCUCCGACCGAGGACCGCGCCUUCGGGCUAGGAUG
RNAcentral lists this ribosomal RNA (541 nucleotides) under Morchella sp. Mes-25. RNAcentral describes it as "eukaryotic LSU rRNA". It matches the Rfam family "Eukaryotic large subunit ribosomal RNA", at positions 73 to 625 of the family's 3401-position model. The record is from RNAcentral. Lineage: Eukaryota; Fungi; Ascomycota; Pezizomycetes; Pezizales; Morchellaceae.